Molecule: long non-coding RNA, 469 nt
Filed under: Calidris pygmaea (Spoon-billed sandpiper)
Lineage: Eukaryota; Metazoa; Chordata; Aves; Charadriiformes; Scolopacidae
Description: lncRNA (ENSCPGG00000017155.1)
Source: RNAcentral
GUCUGUACCAAGAUAACUGUCUUUAAAAGUUACUGGAUUUUCUACCAAAAAGAAAUAUUCUGUUGGUUUUUGACAAAGGUAAAGUUUAGACCUUCUGAUGUCAUCUAGACUUUUAUACUGUUAGAAACAGCCGUUCUAACAUUUCUGCAAGUUCUCCCAUGCAACUGAGGAUUUUUUUUCUCAUCCAAAUAUAGGAAGGUCAUACAAAAGACCUGAGUUACGCAAAGAUACCUUCUUAUACUGACAGUAGCUAGAAUGGAGUGAAUGAAGCACCUGUGUGAAGUCCACCUGGUUCUCACAGCCUUUCCAGUUUAUUACAGCUGUAUGAACUCCUCAUGUUGACCGAGUAUGUACAAACAAGCAUGUAGACAUAUAUUAUCCUUCAGCUGAUUUGAAUAACUUCGGCUCACGAAUAAGUAUCUCAGCAGCUCUCGGUAAGUAAUAAAAACAGAGGAAGUUUCUUAUUACA